UGACGAGUGGCGGACGGGUGAGUAAAGUAUGGGGAUCUGCCGGAUGGAAGGGGACAACAGUUGGAAACGACUGCUAAUACCGUAUAAAGUUGCGAGACCAAAGCGUGGGACUUUCGGGCCACGCGCCAUCUGAUGAACCCAUAUGGGAUUAGCUAGUAGGUAGGGUAAAGGCUUACCUAGGCGACGAUCUCUAGCUGGUCUGAGAGGAUGACCAGCCACACUGGGACUGAGACACGGCCCAG
Molecule: ribosomal RNA, 242 nt
Filed under: uncultured bacterium
Lineage: Bacteria
Description: partial 16S ribosomal RNA
Rfam family: Bacterial small subunit ribosomal RNA
Source: RNAcentral